Molecule: ribosomal RNA, 321 nt
Filed under: Triticum aestivum (bread wheat)
Lineage: Eukaryota; Viridiplantae; Streptophyta; Magnoliopsida; Poales; Poaceae
Description: partial small subunit ribosomal RNA
Source: RNAcentral
AUGCCAUGGACAACGCCUGGGAAAAAUGAGCCUUUUCUGUACAACACUCGGAGGAAUGGAGACUACGUCGUGGUUAAUGGCUCUAUAAGGAGGCGGGAUUCUUUCAUGCAUAUGCGAGUCUACUCAAUCAGGCUUGUUACUAACUACAAUGAGAUUACUCACCACUUCCUCCAUUGCAUAUACGUCUCCCUCGAUCUUCAGAAGCAGUUGAGGGAGAGAGAAAUGAAUAUUCGUCGGGCGAAUCUCGUGGUGGCCUGCCGAUGGGAUGGCCCAUGUCGUCCAAGGGCGCCGAACCGCAUGUCUUAUUCCUCAGCCGCAUGA